GCCCCGGUAAACGGCGGCCGUAACUAUAACGGUCCUAAGGUAGCGAAAUUCCUUGUCGGGUAAGUUCCGACCUGCACGAAUGGCGUAAUGAUGGCCAGGCUGUCUCCACCCGAGACUCAGUGAAAUUGAACUCGCUGUGAAGAUGCAGUGUACCCGCGGCAAGACGGAAAGACCCCGUGAACCUUUACUAUAGCUUGACACUGAACAUUGAGCCUUGAUGUGUAGGAUAGGUGGGAGGCUUUGAAGUGUGGACGCCAGUCUGCAUGGAGCCGACCUUGAAAUACCACCCUUUAAUGUUUGAUGUUCUAACGUUGGCCCGUAAUCCGGGUUGCGGACAGUGUCUGGUGGGUAGUUUGACUGGGGCGGUCUCCUCCUAAAGAGUAACGGAGGAGCACGAAGGUUGGCUAAUCCUGGUCGGACAUCAGGAGGUUAGUGCAAUGGCAUAAGCCAGCUUGACUGCGAGCGUGACGGCGCGAGCAGGUGCGAAAGCAGGUCAUAGUGAUCCGGUGGUUCUGAAUGGAAGGGCCAUCGCUCAACGGAUAAAAGGUACUCCGGGGAUAACAGGCUGAUACCGCCCAAGAGUUCAUAUCGACGGCGGUGUUUGGCACCUCGAUGUCGGCUCAUCACAUCCUGGGGCUGAAGUAGGUCCCAAGGGUAUGGCUGUUCGCCAUUUAAAGUGGUACGCGAGCUGGGUUUAGAACGUCGUGAGACAGUUCGGUCCCUAUCUGCCGUGGGCGCUGGAGAACUGAGGGGGGCUGCUCC
This 762-nucleotide ribosomal RNA is filed under the name Escherichia coli. RNAcentral's name for it is "partial 23S ribosomal RNA". It matches the Rfam family "Bacterial large subunit ribosomal RNA", at positions 1917 to 2678 of the family's 2925-position model. Lineage: Bacteria; Pseudomonadati; Pseudomonadota; Gammaproteobacteria; Enterobacterales; Enterobacteriaceae. The record is from RNAcentral.